AGAGCGAACGCUGGCGGCAGGCCUAACACAUGCAAGUCGAACGGACUCUUCGGAGUUAGUGGCGGACGGGUGAGUAACACGUGGGAACGUGCCUUUUGGUUCGGAAUAGCUCCUGGAAACGGGUGGUAAUGCCGAAUGUGCCCUUCGGGGGAAAGAUUUAUCGCCAUUAGAGCGGCCCGCGUCUGAUUAGCUAGUUGGUGAGGUAAAGGCUCACCAAGGCUACGAUCAGUAGCUGGUCUGAGAGGAUGACCAGCCACAUUGGGACUGAGACACGGCCCAAACUCCUACGGGAGCAGCAGUGGGGAAUCUUGCGCAAUGGGCGAAAGCCUGACGCAGCCAUGCGCGUGAAUGAUGAAGGUCUUAGGAUUGUAAAAUUCUUUCACCGGGACGAUAAUGACGGUACCCGGAGAAGAAGCCCGACUAACUCGUGCCAGCAGCCGC
RNAcentral lists this ribosomal RNA (441 nucleotides) under uncultured soil bacterium. RNAcentral describes it as "bacterial SSU rRNA". It matches the Rfam family "Bacterial small subunit ribosomal RNA", at positions 26 to 518 of the family's 1533-position model. The record is from RNAcentral.